Molecule: long non-coding RNA, 1091 nt
Filed under: Brassica napus (rape)
Lineage: Eukaryota; Viridiplantae; Streptophyta; Magnoliopsida; Brassicales; Brassicaceae
Description: long non-coding RNA (BNAP_LNC006700)
Source: RNAcentral
GUUAGAUCCCUUGGGUUUUUUGAGAUCCAAUGGGUCCGAACUUUCUAAUUUUGAAAAAAAAAAUGAAAGUUAUGCACUAUGCAUGCAGUAUCACAUUAAUUACUAGUACUUAAUGGUUCAAAGAUCCUUGAGCAUGACCAAACUUUUCUAUUGAGCUGAAAGAUUUUAUGAAGUUGAAAAACAGAUACGUGGAAUUCUUGGUUGUUUUUGUUCUUCGUUCGAAAAAUGUUUCGUCUGAUUCAUUAGUUAAAAUAACAAAAAAUUUUUAUAGAUAAUUGUAUUACAUUGAUUAUUUUUUUCUGGUAUGAUUUUCCGGACUAUCUCAAGCUUGAGUAAUAAAACAACUGUCUGAAGAAACAAAAAUUAAGUUUACUUAAUCUGGUAAAAUAUAUAUUUAGACGUUCAAAAUAUAUGGCCGUACUAUGAAGACAUGACUUGAUUCUUCCGUAGCAAAUAUUCCUCACAUUUUAUAUUUUAUGUACGUUUUACCGAAGAACUUAUAGUUUAUUCUUUUCGCUGUGAAAUAUACUCCCACUAUUUUAAUAUUUAUUAUUUAAAAUGUGCUCUCUAUUUAAAAUUCUAGAUUUCGGGAUAAAGUGAAUUCUCUAGAAAAAGUGCUACAUCAAACACAAUAUGACAGCUUUACGUACCUUAUAUAAAUGACCCUUAUAGACCCUUCAAUACAUCAAACACGGAAACUCAUCAAAGUCACUUCUUAUCUUUACCAAGAGACAUCAAGCUCCCUAUUAUAAGUUCUUCAACUUUCCAAUAGUCAUCAUCCCUAGUAUAUCUCUUAUCUCAAUCAAGACACUCAGUUUGAUACUUUGCGGCUUCCAAAACUCUUUCACAUUAUAACAUUAAUGGAGAAGCUACAGAAGAUGAUUUCCGGAAAGUCGGUAGUUAUCUUUAGCAAUAACUCUUGCUGCAUGUCUCACACAAUCAAGACUCUCUUCUUAGACUUUGGCGUCAACCCGACGAUCUAUGAGCUAGACGAGAUCAGCAGAGGAAAAGAGAUUGAGAAACAGCUUUACGUACCUUAUAUAAAUGACCCUUAUAGACCCUUCAAUGCAUCAAACACGGAAACUCAUCAG